Molecule: ribosomal RNA, 253 nt
Filed under: uncultured bacterium
Lineage: Bacteria
Description: partial 16S ribosomal RNA
Rfam family: Bacterial small subunit ribosomal RNA
Source: RNAcentral
UACGAAGGGGGCUAGCGUUGCUCGGAAUUACUGGGCGUAAAGCGCACGUAGGCGGUCUUUUAAGUCGGGGGUGAAAUCCUGGAGCUCAACUCCAGAACUGCCUUCGAUACUGGAAGACUUGAGUCCGGGAGAGGUGAGUGGAACUGCGAGUGUAGAGGUGAAAUUCGUAGAUAUUCGCAAGAACACCAGUGGCGAAGGCGGCUCACUGGCCCGGUACUGACGCUGAGGCGCGAAAGCGUGGGGAGCAAACAGG